GAUGAACGCUGGCGGCGUGCCUAAUACAUGCAAGUCGAGCGAACAGACGAGGAGCUUGCUCCUCUGACGUUAGCGGCGGACGGGUGAGUAACACGUGGAUAACCUACCUAUAAGACUGGGAUAACUUCGGGAAACCGGAGCUAAUACCGGAUAAUAUAUUGAACCGCAUGGUUCAAUAGUGAAAGACGGUUUUGCUGUCACUUAUAGAUGGAUCCGCGCCGCAUUAGCUAGUUGGUAAGGUAACGGCUUACCAAGGCAACGAUGCGUAGCCGACCUGAGAGGGUGAUCGGCCACACUGGAACUGAGACACGGUCCAGACUCCUACGGGAGGCAGCAAUAGGGAAUCUUCCGCAAUGGGCGAAAGCCUGACGGAGCAACGCCGCGUGAGUGAUGAAGGUCUUCGGAUCGUAAAACUCUGUUAUUAGGGAAGAAAAAAUGUGUAAGUAACUAUGCACGUCUUGACGGUACCUAAUCAGAAAGCCACGGCUAACUACGUG
Molecule: ribosomal RNA, 497 nt
Filed under: uncultured bacterium
Lineage: Bacteria
Description: partial 16S ribosomal RNA
Rfam family: Bacterial small subunit ribosomal RNA
Source: RNAcentral